This 365-nucleotide ribosomal RNA is filed under the name uncultured eukaryote. RNAcentral's name for it is "partial 18S ribosomal RNA". It matches the Rfam family "Eukaryotic small subunit ribosomal RNA", at positions 592 to 976 of the family's 1831-position model. The record is from RNAcentral.
CAAUAGCGUAUAUUAAUGUUGUUGCAGUUAAAAAGCUCGUAGUCGGAUUUUGGCUGAGAACGAACGGUCCGCCGUUAGGUGUGUACUGUUUGGUCUCAGCUUCCUGGUGAGGAGGUGUGCUUCACGGCCACUUAGUCACCGUGGUUACUUUGAAAAAAUUAGAGUGUUCAAAGCGGGCUUACGCUUGAAUAUAUUAGCAUGGAAUAACACCAUAGGACUCCUGUCCUAUUUCGUUGGUCUCGGGACGGGAGUAAUGAUUAAGAGGAACAGUUGGGGGCAUUCGUAUUUCAUUGUCAGAGGUGAAAUUCUUGGAUUUAUGAAAGACGAACUUCUGCGAAAGCAUUUGCCAAGGAUGUUUUCAUUGA